UACGGAGGGUGCAAACGUUGCUCGGAAUCAUUGGGCGUAAAGCGCACGUAGGCGGCCUUGUAAGUCGGAUGUGAAAUCCCUGGGCUUAACCGAGGAAGUGCAUUCGAAACUGCAAGGCUUGAAUACAGGAGAGGAUCGCGGAAUUCCCGGUGUAGAGGUGAAAUUCGUAGAUAUCGGGAGGAACACCAGAGGCGAAGGCGGCGAUCUGGACUGAUAUUGACGCUGAGGUGCGAAAGCCAGGGGAGCAAACGGG
This 253-nucleotide ribosomal RNA is filed under the name uncultured bacterium. RNAcentral's name for it is "partial 16S ribosomal RNA". It matches the Rfam family "Bacterial small subunit ribosomal RNA", at positions 524 to 776 of the family's 1533-position model. The record is from RNAcentral.